This 2047-nucleotide long non-coding RNA is filed under the name Sus scrofa (pig). RNAcentral describes it as "lncRNA (ENSSSCG00040058537.1)". The record is from RNAcentral. Lineage: Eukaryota; Metazoa; Chordata; Mammalia; Artiodactyla; Suidae.
GGCGUCCUGCCGGCGGGGCGCCCCCGGCCUGAGACUCCCUGGAAGCCUCGUCCGCGAGUCGCGGACUCGGGGCCCGGAGGGCGACGGGAGGUCCUGCGCUGCGGUGCGGCUAUAGCGCCCGCGCUCCCCGCGGAAGAACCGCCGAGUCGAGCGCUGAAGGUGUGGCCCACCAGCAGGAGUGUCAGAACGUGCCGAGCCGCUCGAGUCGGAGUCGCCAGAACCCCCGGAAGACGAGCCGUUCACCGGCAGGCCAACUGGGGCUCCUUCGUGUAGUGGACUGUCAGCCAAGCGUCGGGAACGCAGUGUCGUGGGUGUGCGGCUGACCGGGUGAGGAGGAUCUUUCACAGAGACCGUGCCCCUCCGUGGAGUCCAGGAACAGGGCCUCAAACCUGCGUCCUCAUGGAUACUAGUCAAAUUUGUUUCCCCUGAGCCAGGACAGGAACUCCCUUCGAGGAUAUUUGUUUGUUUGAUUGUUUCAUUCUGCUUUUUUUUUUUUUCUAGGGCCACACCCACAGCGUGUGGAGGCUCACAAGCUAGGGGUCCAGUCGGAGCUGUCGCCGCCAGCCUAUACCGUAGCCACAGCCACGCAGGAUCUGAGCUGCAUCUGCACCCUACGCCACAGCUCACAGCAACACUGGAUCCCCAACCCACUGAACCAGGCCAGGGAUCGAAUUGCAACCUCAUGGUUCCUAGUCAGGUUCAUUAACCACUGAGCCAUGACAGGAACUCCGCUUCAAGGAUAUUUGGAAGCAUCUAUAUUUAUGGCCCAUCUCAGAAUGCAAAGGGUUUUAGAAAUGUAAACCUCUUUGCUUUUUGGAGUGUAAAUAUUUGGGGGCUUAGGAGUCUGAUGCAUCUGUGUGCGACAGAGCUGGUCUCAGCAGGCACCUCACUGGGCUCUCAUGAGGGGAUUUCUUUCACGGAACCGUCUUUGGUAUGUAGCAGGUGUUCGUAGGUGUUAGUCAUUGCCGUUACUGUCUGUAUCACUGCCAUCAUCAGAGCCUGACAAGGCAAGGCUUCCAGGCCUCGCACUGCCAUGAAAGAGUUGGGCGGAGCAAGGCCUGUGCGUUGGGUCUCUGAGCCUCAGUUCCUGAGUGGGCAACAUGAAAAUUGAUGCCCGCUUCAAGGGUUGCUGUGACCGUUACACCAGUGUGGAUGGGAAAGCAGUUGUUUCAAGAAGCAUCAAAGGUUAAUAAUACCUGGAACAUUUUCCAGAAGAAAGUUAAAUACAGGAUGGCCUGAUGCGUUCCCCAUAGGGUGUACUCUUCGCUUCCGUUUCAUUCGUGUUCAACAAGAUGCGCGUUCAGGCCAUGCUCCAUUUCUGCAGCAAAAAAGGCACUUUGCAGCCAUAUUCUUUGCACGUGAUGCUGAGUAGUAUUUCAGAGCCAGGCUUUAGAAACUUCAAGGCCUGGGAGUUCCUUCGUGGCUCUGGUUAACGAACCCGACUAGGAUCCAUGAGGACUCAGGUUUGAUCCCUGGCCUUGCUCAGUGGGUUAAGGAUCUGGCGUUGCUAUGAGCUGUGGUGUAGGUCACAGACAUGGCUUGGAUCCCAUCAUUUUGCUGUGGCUGUGGCAUAGGGUGGCAGCUGCAGCUCCGAUUUGACCCCUAUCCUGGGAACUUCCAUAUGCCUCUGGUAUGGCCCUAAAAAGACCAAAAAAAAAUUAGCAAAGGAGUUCCUGCUGCAGUGCAAUGAGAUUUAAGUGUCUGCAGCACCAGGACACAGGUUCAACUCCCUGCCCCUCAGAGAGGGCUAAAGGAUCCAGCAUUACCGAAGCUUCAGCGUAGGUCAGCUUCAACUGUGUCUCAGAUCUGAUCCAUGGCCCGGGAGCUUCAUGCGCUGCAAGGUGGCCAAAAAAUUUAAAAAGGAAAAAGUUCUUGUCGUGUCUCAGCAGUAACAAACCCGAUUAGUCAUGAGGAUGUGGGUUCAAUCCCUGGCCCGGCUCAGUGGGUUAACAUUCUGCUGUUGCCAUGGGCUGUGGUGUAGGUUGCAUAUGUGGUUUGGAUUUGAUCUCUAGUCUGGGAACUUCCAUAGCCCUCCAAAAAAAAAAAA